This 492-nucleotide ribosomal RNA is filed under the name uncultured bacterium. RNAcentral describes it as "partial 16S ribosomal RNA". It matches the Rfam family "Bacterial small subunit ribosomal RNA", at positions 29 to 507 of the family's 1533-position model. The record is from RNAcentral.
AGUGAACGCUGGCGGUAGGCCUAACACAUGCAAGUCGAACGGCAGCACAGUAAGAGCUUGCUCUUACGGGUGGCGAGUGGCGGACGGGUGAGGAAUACAUCGGAAUCUACUUUUUCGUGGGGGAUAACGUAGGGAAUCUUACGCUAAUACCGCAUACGACCUACGGGUGAAAGCAGGGGACCUUCGGACCUUGCGCGAUUGAAUGAGCCGAUGUCGGAUUAGCUAGUUGGCGGGGUAAAGGCCCACCAAGGCGACGAUCCGUAGCUGGUCUGAGAGGAUGAUCAGCCACACUGGAACUGAGACACGGUCCAGACUCCUACGGGAGGCAGCAGUGGGGAAUAUUGGACAAUGGGCGCAAGCCUGAUCCAGCCAUACCGCGUGGGUGAAGAAGGCCUUCGGGUUGUAAAGCCCUUUUGUUGGGAAAGAAAAGCAGCAGGUUAAUACCCCGCUGUUCUGACGGUACCCAAAGAAUAAGCACCGGCUAACUUCGUG